AUGUCAUGUAGCGAGUUUCAUUACCGUGAUAGUACAUAUUUCAUCUAUUUGCGCUUUCGGUCUUUCACCAAGAAGAUGCACGCGACUACAAGUUUGGUUAUGUGUGUUUUGCUAAAUGGUGCAACUUUACCCUAUAAAAUCCGAGUGAUGUGUCCUUCCAACUAUAUAUGUUUGUCCUUCACAGUUGCAUCCUUAGAAUUGUAUUUCUCCUUCUCUCUUUUUUCGGGUAAUAUUUCUCCUUCUCAAUUGCAUACUUACUGUGUUUUUUCCUUCUCAGAUGUAUCUUUUAACUUCAGGAAUAAGCUCUGGUUUUUUUUUCCGGGGGAGGAAUAA
This 333-nucleotide ribosomal RNA is filed under the name Triticum aestivum (bread wheat). Its description in RNAcentral is "partial small subunit ribosomal RNA". The record is from RNAcentral. Lineage: Eukaryota; Viridiplantae; Streptophyta; Magnoliopsida; Poales; Poaceae.